AAUGAACGCUGGCGGCGCGCCUAAUACAUGCAAGUCGAGCGAGAAGACGUAGCAAUACGUUUGUAAAGCGGCGAACGGGUGAGGAAUACAUGGGUAACCUACCCUCGAGUGGGGAAUAACUAGCCGAAAGGUUAGCUAAUACCGCGUACGCUCCUUGGACUUCGGUUCAGGGAGGAAAGCGAUACCGUGGGUAUCGCGCUCUUGGUUGGGCUCAUGUCCUAUCAGCUUGUUGGUGAGGAACGGCUCACCAAGGCUUCGACGGGUAGCUGGUCUGAGAGGACGAUCAGCCACACUGGCACUGCGACACGGGCCAGACUCCUACGGGAGGCAGCAGUAAGGAAUAUUGCGCAAUGGGCGAAAGCCUGACGCAGCGACGCCGCGUGGGGGAGUGAA
RNAcentral lists this ribosomal RNA (393 nucleotides) under uncultured bacterium. RNAcentral's name for it is "bacterial SSU rRNA". It matches the Rfam family "Bacterial small subunit ribosomal RNA", at positions 29 to 413 of the family's 1533-position model. The record is from RNAcentral.